This 594-nucleotide ribosomal RNA is filed under the name fungal sp. ASR-53. Its description in RNAcentral is "eukaryotic LSU rRNA". The stretch from base 228 to 382 matches the Rfam family "5.8S ribosomal RNA". Lineage: Eukaryota; Fungi. The record is from RNAcentral.
CCGAAGGGUGAACCUGCGGAAAGAUCAUACCGAGUUUAGGGUCUCUCAGGCCGACCCUCCCAACCUUUUGUUUACUUAAACCUGUGUUCUUAGGCGGGCCCGUCUACGGACCCCGGGAGGNCGCNUGCAUGGGAGUCCUUUGGACCCGCGCCCGUGAUGCCCCCCAUCAAAAACUCUUGUUUAAUCAUGGUGUCUGUGUCUGAAUUGCCAAAAUCAAAUAAAUGCAAAACUUUCAACAACGGAUCUCUUGGUUAAGGCAUCGAUGAANAACGCAGCGAAAUGCGAUAAGUAAUGCGAAUUGCAGAAUUCCAGUGAGUCAUAGAAUCUUUGAACGCACAUUGCGCCCUUUGGCAUUCCGAAGGGCAUGCCUGUUCGAGCGUCAUUAUCACCCCUCAAGCCNCGUGCUUGGUGUUGGACGGNUUGGUCGAGGUCCGCCUCGACCCCUCCCAAAGACAAUGACGGCGGCCUGUGGCUCCCCCGGCACANUGAGCUUUUCACCGAGCACGUGUCGGAUCGCGGGCGUCCAGGUCCCGGUCGGCCUCCUUGUUCGCAAGGCCAUUUUUCUCAAGGUUGACCUCGGAUCAGGUAGGGAUA